UUAGGCUAUGGUGACAUGUAUCCAGAGACCUGGUCAGGCAUGGUUGUUGGCGCACUGUGUGCCUUGGCCGGUGUGCUGACGAUAGCUAUGCCUGUGCCCGUUAUCGUCAAUAAC
Molecule: non-coding RNA, 114 nt
Organism: Larimichthys crocea (large yellow croaker)
Lineage: Eukaryota; Metazoa; Chordata; Actinopteri; Sciaenidae
Source: Rfam